ACGCCGCGUGAGUGAUGAAGGCGGAUCGUAAAGCUCUGUUGUUAGGGAAGAACAAGUGCCGUUCAAAUAGGGCGGCACCUUGACGGUACCUAACCAGAAAGCCACGGCUAACUACGUGCCAGCUUCCGCGGUAAUACGUAGGUGGCAAGCGUUGUCCGGAAUUAUUGGGCGUAAAGGGCUCGCAGGCGGUUUCUUAAGUACUGAUGUGAAAACACCCGGCUCAACCGGGGAGGGUCAUUUUGAAACUGGGGAACCUCAAUGCAAAAGAGG
RNAcentral lists this ribosomal RNA (270 nucleotides) under Paenibacillus favisporus. Its description in RNAcentral is "partial 16S ribosomal RNA". It matches the Rfam family "Bacterial small subunit ribosomal RNA", at positions 394 to 657 of the family's 1533-position model. The record is from RNAcentral. Lineage: Bacteria; Bacillati; Bacillota; Bacilli; Caryophanales; Paenibacillaceae.